UAUUUCUUUUACCAGACUGUUUUGUUUUGCUUCACUUUGAGGCGAGGAUCUACCGAAAACAUCCUCUCUACUUGCCAAGAUAUUAGGAAUCCAGCAGAGCAGAUAGAUUCAAGAUCAGCCCGUGAUAUCUUAUGAGUCCAACAAGCAUUUAUCUGUCCAUCAAAUCCACAAUUUGACUGCAUCCCGGAUGCUGAUAUGCCUUUCACGUAUUCCUGGCACAGCCCAAAAAUAAGAGGGGGAAAAACACCAGCCCUCUGUUCAGGAGUCUUUGCCUUCAAAAACCGGACAGCAAUUGAUAGAGUUUGACGAUCGAGCUGCAG
This is a long non-coding RNA of Solanum tuberosum (potato), 320 nucleotides long. RefSeq lists it as uncharacterized. The transcript has 3 exons. The record is from RefSeq and is a predicted model, not a curated record. NCBI's taxonomy places the organism in Eukaryota, Viridiplantae, Streptophyta, Magnoliopsida, Solanales, Solanaceae.